ACGAUAUUCCGCUGGCGCAAGACGUUAAUGAAUAUCUG
This 38-nucleotide unclassified non-coding RNA is filed under the name Latilactobacillus curvatus. RNAcentral's name for it is "Lactobacillus curvatus L19_leader". The record is from RNAcentral. Lineage: Bacteria; Bacillati; Bacillota; Bacilli; Lactobacillales; Lactobacillaceae.